UGGAGGAAAAGAAACCAACAGGGAUUGCCCCAGUAGCGGCGAGUGAAGCGGCAAGAGCUCAGAUUUGAAAUCGUGUUUCGGCACGAGUUGUAGAGUGUAGGCGGGAGUCUCUGUGGAGCGCGGUGUCCAAGUCCCUUGGAACAGGGUGCCUGAGAGGGUGAGAGCCCCGUAGGGUGCUGCGCGAAGCUUUUGAGGCCCUGCUGACGAGUCGAGUUGUUUGGGAAUGCAGCUCCAAGCGGGUGGUAAAUUCCAUCUAAGGCUAAAUAUUGGCGAGAGACCGAUAGCGAACAAGUACUGUGAAGGAAAGAUGAAAAGCACUUUGAAAAGAGAGUGAAACAGCACGUGAAAUUGUUGAAAGGGAAGGGUAUUGGGCUCGACAUGGGGGGUGCGCACCGCUGUCUCUUGUAGGCGGCGCUCUGGGCGCCCUCUGGGCCAGCAUCGGUUCCUGCUGCGGGAGAAGGGGCUCCGGAAAGUGGCUCUUCGGAGUGUUAUAGCCGGGGCCAGAUGCCGCGUGUGGGGACCGAGGACUGCGGCUUCUGUCUCGGAUGCUGGCAUAACGGCGCAAUACCGCCCGUCU
RNAcentral lists this ribosomal RNA (577 nucleotides) under Pichia manshurica. RNAcentral describes it as "eukaryotic LSU rRNA". It matches the Rfam family "Eukaryotic large subunit ribosomal RNA", at positions 51 to 654 of the family's 3401-position model. The record is from RNAcentral. Lineage: Eukaryota; Fungi; Ascomycota; Pichiomycetes; Pichiales; Pichiaceae.